This 401-nucleotide unclassified non-coding RNA is filed under the name Eucalyptus buprestium. RNAcentral describes it as "partial external transcribed spacer". Lineage: Eukaryota; Viridiplantae; Streptophyta; Magnoliopsida; Myrtales; Myrtaceae. The record is from RNAcentral.
UGCAUCGAACUGCUUCCCUCACUUUCGAUCAGUGAUUGCUCCACGAGAUAAACAUUGGACGCAAGACAUGGGUUCCUGUGUUGCAUACCUAUUGCGACGGAAAUGUGUGCCUUCGAUCGUCCCUCUUCCAUCACGGCGUCCUCACGGAUGCUCGGUUGGACCGGAUAGUGGGGCUCGUGUUCCACGAACGUCGUCUCAUUCGAUCGUUCGGAUGGACCACGGGUGCCCACUCGUUCUCUCGGAUGCGGAACUCUCUUAAUGGGCGUGGGGUCAUUGGCCCUUGGUCCCUAAUCGUUAAGCGUUUAUCGCUUCACCGGAAUGACGAUCUCGCCUUGUCCUUGACCACGCGAAGCCCUCGGGCAUCGCGACGGAUCAAGUCGGCGCACGUCGAGAAAGAAUGC